RNAcentral lists this ribosomal RNA (852 nucleotides) under uncultured bacterium. Its description in RNAcentral is "bacterial SSU rRNA". It matches the Rfam family "Bacterial small subunit ribosomal RNA", at positions 8 to 842 of the family's 1533-position model. The record is from RNAcentral.
AGAGUUUGAUCCUGGCUCAGGACGAACGCUGGCGGCGUGCCUAAUACAUGCAAGUCGAGCGGAUCUUCAUUAGCUUGCUUUUGAAGAUCAGCGGCGGACGGGUGAGUAACACGUGGGCAACCUGCCUGUAAGACUGGGAUAACUUCGGGAAACCGGAGCUAAUACCGGAUAAUCCUUUCCCUCACAUGAGGGAAAGCUGAAAGACGGUUUCGGCUGUCACUUACAGAUGGGCCCGCGGCGCAUUAGCUAGUUGGUGAGGUAACGGCUCACCAAGGCAACGAUGCGUAGCCGACCUGAGAGGGUGAUCGGCCACACUGGGACUGAGACACGGCCCAGACUCCUACGGGAGGCAGCAGUAGGGAAUCUUCCGCAAUGGACGAAAGUCUGACGGAGCAACGCCGCGUGAGCGAUGAAGGCCUUCGGGUCGUAAAGCUCUGUUGUCAGGGAAGAACAAGUACCGGAGUAACUGCCGGUACCUUGACGGUACCUGGCCAGAAAGCCACGGCUAACUACGUGCCAGCAGCCGCGGUAAUACGUAGGUGGCAAGCGUUGUCCGGAAUUAUUGGGCGUAAAGCGCGCGCAGGCGGUUCCUUAAGUCUGAUGUGAAAGCCCCCGGCUCAACCGGGGAGGGUCAUUGGAAACUGGGGAACUUGAGUGCAGAAGAGGAGAGCGGAAUUCCACGUGUAGCGGUGAAAUGCGUAGAGAUGUGGAGGAACACCAGUGGCGAAGGCGGCUCUCUGGUCUGUAACUGACGCUGAGGCGCGAAAGCGUGGGGAGCGAACAGGAUUAGAUACCCUGGUAGUCCACGCCGUAAACGAUGAGUGCUAAGUGUUAGAGGGUUUCCGCCCUUUA